RNAcentral lists this ribosomal RNA (253 nucleotides) under uncultured bacterium. RNAcentral's name for it is "partial 16S ribosomal RNA". It matches the Rfam family "Bacterial small subunit ribosomal RNA", at positions 524 to 776 of the family's 1533-position model. The record is from RNAcentral.
UACGUAGGGUGCAAGCGUUGUCCGAAAUUAUUGGGCGUAAAGAGCUCGUAGGCGGUCUGUCACGUCGGCUGUGAAAACCCGAGGCCCAACCUCGGGCCUGCAGUCGAUACGGGCAAACUAGAGUACUGCAGGGGAGACUGGAAUUCCUGGUGUAGCGGUGAAAUGCGCAGAUAUCAGGAGGAACACCGGUGGCGAAGGCGGGUCUCUGGGCAGUAACUGACGCUGAGGAGCGAAAGCGUGGGGAGCGAACAGG